AAUGAAAACUCAUAGAUAUCUUUAAACUAAUUGGAUACCUUAUAAAGAUUAUAGCAAAUGGGUGUGGUAUUUUUAUGUGGCAACAUAAGAAUUUUAGCCAUCAAACUAGCACUAUUCUACAGUAAUGUUGAAGGUGGAUGAAGUAUAUCGAAUGAGUUUAUGUUUUCCAGGUUGCACAGAAUACAAAAAGUGGAAGGCUGAAUAAAAAACAAGGACAGCUCCUGUUCAAGUGACCUCACUGCUUUCUGAUGACCCCCACUGGCUAUGCCACAUUUCUGGUGCUGAAUGGAUGCACAACACGUCCGUACUCAUCUGGGCUUCGAUGCAGUUGUUCAAUUUGAAAAGUAAAGCAGUACUUUAAUGGUCCCUUCAGUUCUCACACUCAGUGUUUCAAUAUUUGUCCUGUUCUACCUGGCUUGUAAUCAAUCCUAAAACUUCCUCACAUUUCCAGAUGAUGGAAUGAACAAUCCUGCGUAUGGCUUCCAAACUGAAAACUCAGAACUUAAGGCUCUGGUCUGAAGUGGCCACAGUUCAUCUCUGGCCUUGACAAGCCAUUUGUUGGCCGUGGAACUCAUUACUUGAAAGAGAUUUGCUACAGCUCCCGUUAUGGUGCCUUUAGAAGAAAUAAAGAUCUCCUGCCUCACUUCCAAUACUUC
RNAcentral lists this long non-coding RNA (656 nucleotides) under Homo sapiens (human). RNAcentral's name for it is "HSALNT0252397". The record is from RNAcentral. Lineage: Eukaryota; Metazoa; Chordata; Mammalia; Primates; Hominidae.